Manis javanica (Malayan pangolin) is the source of this 277-nucleotide non-coding RNA. The record is from RefSeq and is a predicted model, not a curated record. NCBI's taxonomy places the organism in Eukaryota, Metazoa, Chordata, Mammalia, Pholidota, Manidae.
GAGGCCGUCUGGGCGUCGUGAGGUGAAUUCGAGGGGCGGCGGUGAGAAGCUUGCCCUCUGUGGAGCGCGCUGGGCCCCAGACAAGUCUGAGGAUAAUUUGUCGAGCAGUUGGGCUGAGACGGAAAAAGUUUUUCUUUGAAAAUGGAUAGGAUGUCUUCAGAGGCAAAUGAAGAAAAUGACAAUACAGAAAGACCUGUUAGAAGACGACAUUCCUCAAUUUUGAAACCCCCAAGGAGUCCUCUUCAGGACCUCAGAGGUGUAAAUGAAACAGUUCAGG